This 187-nucleotide small nuclear RNA is filed under the name Penaeus japonicus. RNAcentral's name for it is "U2 spliceosomal RNA". It matches the Rfam family "U2 spliceosomal RNA". Rfam says of the family: U2 is a small nuclear RNA (snRNA) component of the spliceosome (involved in pre-mRNA splicing). Complementary binding between U2 snRNA (in an area lying towards the 5' end but 3' to hairpin I) and the branchpoint sequence (BPS) of the intron results the bulging out of an unpaired adenosine, on the BPS, which initiates a nucleophilic attack at the intronic 5' splice site, thus starting the first of two transesterification reactions that mediate splicing. Lineage: Eukaryota; Metazoa; Arthropoda; Malacostraca; Decapoda; Penaeidae. The record is from RNAcentral.
ACCGCUUCUCGGCCUUUAGGCUAAAAUCAAAGUGUAGUAUCUGUUCUUAUUAGCUUAAUAUCUGAUGCAAUCCACGUGUGGGGAUAUUAAACUGAUUUUUGAAAUAUGGCAAGGUGCUAGGGACUUGCUCCGACUUUGCCGCGGAUCGGCCCGGUAUUGCAGUACCUCCAGGAUUGGUCCACUCACC